GACGAACGCUGGCGGCGUGCUUAACACAUGCAAGUCGAACGGAAAGGCCCUGCUUUUGUGGGGUGCUCGAGUGGCGAACGGGUGAGUAACACGUGAGUAACCUGCCCUUGACUUUGGGAUAACUUCAGGAAACUGGGGCUAAUACCGGAUAGGAGCUCCUGCUGCAUGGUGGGGGUUGGAAAGUUUCGGCGGUUGGGGAUGGACUCGCGGCUUAUCAGCUUGUUGGUGGGGUAGUGGCUUACCAAGGCUUUGACGGGUAGCCGGCCUGAGAGGGUGACCGGCCACAUUGGGACUGAGAUACGGCCCAGACUCCUACGGGAGGCAGCAGUGGGGAAUAUUGCACAAUGGGCGGAAGCCUGAUGCAGCAACGCCGCGUGCGGGAUGACGGCCUUCGGGUUGUAAACCGCUUUCGCCUGUGACGAAGCGUGAGUGACGGUAAUGGGUAAAGAAGCACCGGCUAACUACGUGCCAGCAGCCGCGGUGAUACGUAGGGCGCGAGCGUUGUCCGGAUUUAUUGGGCGUAAAGGGCUCGUAGGUGGUUGAUCGCGUCGGAAGUGUAAUCUUGGGGCUUAACCCUGAGCGUGCUUUCGAUACGGGUUGACUUGAGGAAGGUAGGGGAGAAUGGAAUUCCUGGUGGAGCGGUGGAAUGCGCAGAUAUCAGGAGGAACACCAGUGGCGAAGGCGGUUCUCUGGGCCUUUCCUGACGCUGAGGAGCGAAAGCGUGGGGAGCGAACAGGCUUAGAUACCCUGGUAGUCCACGCUGUAAACGGUGGGUACUAGGUGUGGGGUCCAUUCCACGGGUUCCGUGCCGUAGCUAACGCUUUAAGUACCCCGCCUGGGGAGUACGGCCGCAAGGCUAAAACUCAAAGGAAUUGACGGGGCCCCGCACAAGCGGCGGAGCAUGCGGAUUAAUUCGAUGCAACGCGUAGAACCUUACCUGGGUUUGACAUGGAUCGGGAGCGCUCAGAGAUGGGUGUGCCUCUUUUGGGGUCGGUUCACAGGUGGUGCAUGGCUGUCGUCAGCUCGUGUCGUGAGAUGUUGGGUUAAGUCCCGCAACGAGCGCAACCCUUGUUCACUGUUGCCAGCACGUUAUGGUGGGGACUCAGUGGAGACCGCCGGGGUCAACUCGGAGGAAGGUGGGGAUGACGUCAAGUCAUCAUGCCCCUUAUGUCCAGGGCUUCACGCAUGCUACAAUGGCUGGUACAGAGAGUGGCGAGCCUGUGAGGGUGAGCGAAUCUCGGAAAGCCGGUCUCAGUUCGGAUUGGGGUCUGCAACUCGACCUCAUGAAGUCGGAGUCGCUAGUAAUCGCAGAUCAGCAACGCUGCGGUGAAUACGUUCCCGGG
RNAcentral lists this ribosomal RNA (1343 nucleotides) under uncultured bacterium. RNAcentral describes it as "16S ribosomal RNA". It matches the Rfam family "Bacterial small subunit ribosomal RNA", at positions 28 to 1378 of the family's 1533-position model. The record is from RNAcentral.